AGAGAGUUGAUUGGCUUAGCCAUGAUUAACUAGUGGAGCGUUAGCUCAAGAAAUAGAAUGCCCACACCCAGUUGAGAGCUGCUGGUUCCCCAUAAUUAUCCCCAAACACAACACUUUGCGAGUGUUUCACAGAACCAGUGUGAGGCAUUAGUUUUCUGUUCAGUGAGGUUAAAACAUUGUCCUUACACACUGAAUCCCCACCAACCACCCUACUCUUAAUACCUCUAUUUCCCUUUCUAUCCAAAGAAGGAGAGGCAGUAGGGGUAAUGGCCCAGGGAGGAGAUCCUUAGGACUACUCAAGGGUCCAGCCCUUCAUUUUCCUGGCUGCAUCUUCUCCAUUCCAACCUUAUUGGACACUUGCUGACCUGUGCCCUACAUUGCCCAACCUCUCUUCUGCAUUUUCCUCCUCCCCACCUACCUCCAUCUGCAGCCUGAUAAUGGCACCAUCACACCCACUGGAACACAGACUUGUGUGAUGAAAAUGUGUAUCCAGCUAAAGGCAGAGUCCUUGCUUUCUAACCCCACUACCUCCACCUGCCACUACCCCUGUGAUUUUUUUUCUAUUUUUUUAGUUGUAGUUGGACCCAAUACCUUCAUUUUUUUGUUUUUAUGUUGUGCUGGGGAUUGAACCUAGGGCCUCAUAUGUCUAGAUGAGUGCUCUACUGCUAAGCCAUGACUCCAGCCCAACCCCUUCUCUAAACAAAAUUUCUUCUCGACAAAAUGCAGUUGACAGAGCUAUAAUGUAAGGUGGCAAGAUAGUGGUUCCUGUGACAGGUAUGGAUGGAAGAGGGCAUGAAGGGUACCUACGGUGCUGGCUAUAUUCUAUCUUGAUGUGGAUGCUAAUUGCAUGGGUCAGUUCACUUUCUGAAAACUUGAUGUUAAAUACUUGUGAUUUGUUCGCUUUUCUGUUUGUAUGUUAUACUUCAAAUAAGGUUUGCUUAUAGAUGUAGUUGGUGGUCCCUGUCUUAGGGUCGCUGUAAGAUUCAAAUACUUAAAAUUGCUUUCAAGUAAGCAAUUUGAGAGCUAUGAACUACUAAGUGUAUGAAAGGGUAGUCACCUACCUCUGUAUUGUAGGUAAACGUGGCUAGAAUUUUAUCCCUUUAGCAUUGUUGGGCAACAUUUGUUCCAAUACAUCUAUCAUACAUAAAUAUUUGUUCAGGGACCAAAACUGCUUUUUGUUUUAAUCUUUCUGUUCUCGUUUUUUUUUUUUUUUUUGGUAAGAUUUUUUUUUUCAUAGUGCUGGGGAUUUAAGCUAGGGCUUCAUGCAUGCCAAGCAAGCACUCUACCAUUGAGGUAUAUCCCCAGUCCAAUUUAGGAAAAAAAAAUUAUUUUUUAAAUUUGGAAUUGGGGAUUGAAUUCAUGGCCUCAUGCCUCGUCCUUGGGUACCUUAGGUGAGUACUCUACCACUGAGUUAUACCCCGUAUCUUUUAUUUUAAGACAGGGUCUCACUAAAUUGCUGAGGCUGGCUUCAAACUUGCCUUCCUCCUCCUGCCUCAGCCUGCUGAGAUUACAGGCAUGUGCCACCAUGCCCGGCUCCAUUUUUUUUUUUUUUAAUGUAUUGGCUACUUUGCUGUUUAAAUACAGGAUUCUGAAUGUGGUUUAACCUACUUGAUCCCAGAAAUGAUUACUUUUCUACCUCUUGGAUUCAUAACCUGUCUGCUCUAGCUUCUGUUUCUCCUGUGUUGCUGUCUCUAUUCCAGUUUAUUUGAGCCAGAGAAUAGAUAUCCCUACUUGGGGCUAUCUAUGCUUUUGGCUGAGCCAGUAAAUUUAGAUUGAGGAAAGCAUAUGGCUGCCUGCCUGGGCCUUGGGGUAGUAUACAGACCUUCACCUGUGGGAGGGCAAGAUCCAAAGUGCUGAGACUGCAGGAAGUGAAGGCAGACCAUAUAACAUCAGGACUGGGGAGUCAUGAAUUGUCCAGCCCCACAUUUUAUGAGUGAGAGGACUGAGUCCCACACACAGUGUCAGACCAACCUUGAGAGGGAUCACUGUCACUUUGUAUGUCCUGCACUGCCUGGCUCAGUGCUUUUUGCCUAAAGAGACUGCAUUUCUCUUGUGUGUGAAGAGUUCAGGAAUUAGGAAUUGAGUGCAGAGAAAAUUGCCUUAUGCUGCUGGCACCAAGAUGCCAGAUACUCUGAGAAUUAUGAUGGACAACAUCUCCCUUCUAGGUUUUGGCACUUACCCUUCUCAACAUUUCCCUUCAGGGCAGAGGGCAGGCAAUCUGGUAUGUGAGGACUUAGAGCCUGAGGAGCUUUCCUUAGGGGUCCAUCCCAAGGCAGAUAGAGACCUGGGCCUCUAUGGGGGGGGGGGGCGGUUUGGCAUACCCAUUUAAGAGCACUACGUGCUGCUUCCUGCCUGAGCCUUUG
RNAcentral lists this long non-coding RNA (2363 nucleotides) under Marmota monax (woodchuck). Lineage: Eukaryota; Metazoa; Chordata; Mammalia; Rodentia; Sciuridae. The record is from RNAcentral.